ACAACGGAUCUCUUGGUUCUGGCAUCGAUGAAGAACGCAGCGAAAUGCGAUAAGUAAUGUGAAUUGCAGAAUUCAGUGAAUCAUCGAAUCUUUGAACGCACAUUGCGCCCAUUAGUAUUCUAGUGGGCAUGCCUGUUCGAGCGUCAUUUCAACCCUUAAGCCCCUGUUGCUUAGUGUU
This 178-nucleotide ribosomal RNA is filed under the name Xylaria adscendens. RNAcentral's name for it is "5.8S ribosomal RNA". The stretch from base 1 to 146 matches the Rfam family "5.8S ribosomal RNA". Rfam says of the family: 5.8S ribosomal RNA (5.8S rRNA) is a component of the large subunit of the eukaryotic ribosome. It is transcribed by RNA polymerase I as part of the 45S precursor that also contains 18S and 28S rRNA. Functionally, it is thought that 5.8S rRNA may be involved in ribosome translocation. Lineage: Eukaryota; Fungi; Ascomycota; Sordariomycetes; Xylariales; Xylariaceae. The record is from RNAcentral.